AGAAGCUUUACAAACUUUGCAUAUUUCCCUUUCCGCAU
Molecule: small RNA, 38 nt
Filed under: Arabidopsis thaliana (thale cress)
Lineage: Eukaryota; Viridiplantae; Streptophyta; Magnoliopsida; Brassicales; Brassicaceae
Description: ATSL037090
Source: RNAcentral